AAUUAAAUCAAUCAAGAAAAUAUAAAUAUUUAAUAUAAAACUAUUUAUUUUGGCGGCAUUUCAUCUAAUCAGAGGAAUUUGUUUCCUAAUAGAUAAUACCCUAUAAUUUUCACUUUAUUUAAAAAUUUAUAUAUCUCCAUCAUAAGAAUUUAUUAAACAAAUAUAUUCAAAAUAAAAAUUAAAAAGUUAGGUCAAGGUGUAGUUUACAUUAAAGUUUUUAAUGAAUUACUUUAAAAAAAAUUUAAGAAUUUAAUAAUACUAAUUUUAUAUGAAAAAGGAUUUGAAAAUAAUAAUAAAACAAUAUUUUAUUAUGAAUAAGAAAAUAAAUGUGU
This 332-nucleotide ribosomal RNA is filed under the name Cybaeus daimonji. Its description in RNAcentral is "partial 12S ribosomal RNA". The record is from RNAcentral. Lineage: Eukaryota; Metazoa; Arthropoda; Arachnida; Araneae; Cybaeidae.